This 253-nucleotide ribosomal RNA is filed under the name uncultured bacterium. Its description in RNAcentral is "partial 16S ribosomal RNA". It matches the Rfam family "Bacterial small subunit ribosomal RNA", at positions 524 to 776 of the family's 1533-position model. The record is from RNAcentral.
UACGGAGGGUGCGAGCGUUGUCCGGAAUCAUUGGGCGUAAAGGGCGCGUAGGCGGCCCGGUCAGUUUGUGGUGAAAGCGCGGGGCUCAACUCCGCGUCGGCCAUGAAUACUGCUGGGCUGGAGCACUGUAGAGGCAGGCGGAAUUCCGGGUGUAGCGGUGGAAUGCGUAGAGAUCCGGAAGAACACCGGUGGCGAAGGCGGCCUGCUGGGCAGUAGCUGACACUGAGGCGCGACAGCGUGGGGAGCAAACAGG